GGCGGGCCGGAUGGGGCCGCCCCUCCGCUUCCCUCCGCCGGCUUCCCCGCCGGCUGCAGACCCGGGUCUCGGCCCUCCCCCGGCGCCUUCUCUGUCCUCCUGACCGCCCGGGGCCGGGGCCGGGGCCGGGGCCGGGCGGGAGAGCCCGCCGCCGGGCUGCCGCGAUUCCGCCCUGUCGCGGCUGUGUCCCUGGGCCGGCAGAGCCCCCGCUUCGACCAGGCCGACGGCGACGGGGAGGACGAGGAAGACGUGGACGGAGACCCGGGGGGAGCGGGGUGGCAGGGCUGCGCCAGUGCUGAGGCUGAAUCAGAAGAUAACCAAGAAGAACAGAAACAGGUGCGCUCCCCGGAAAGCAGCCUGACACCGUGGGAGGUGUGGUUUGUUGGCAAAGAAAAAAAAGAACGUGACCGGCUGCAGCAAAAAGCUCUGAAGGAAUUAAAUUCACAACUCGAAAAAAUAAAAAAAAACAAAAACGGAAGAACAUGAAAAAAGAAAGAUAAUUGCUGAAGAAAAGCACAAGGAAUGGGUUCAGAAAAAGAACAAACAGAAAAGAAAAGAAAAGGAACAAAAAAUUAAUAAAGAACUGGAGUAAAAAGCAACAAAGGAGCUGGAGAAAGAACAUUUGCAAGAAAAAGCAAAAGAAAAAUAUCAAGAAUAGUUAAAGAAAAAAAUGCUGAAGAAUAUGAGAAGAAGAAGAAAGAAAAGAAACAACGGCAAGCUGAAUUACAGGAGAAAAAGGAAAUCGCAGAAAAAAAGUUUAAGGAAGAGUUGGAAGAUGCAAAAAAUAAACCUCAUCCAGCUGCAAAGAGCUAUGGUUAUGCUAAUGCAAAGCUUACAGGUUUUCACAGUGGAAAUGCCUAUCCAGAGCCAGCCUUUUAUAACCCAAUUCCAUGGAAACCAAUUCACAUGCCCCCUCCCAGAGAAGCUAAGGACCCCUCGUGGAGAAAGAGGCCUGUGAAAAGGCCUGUGAAAAGCCAGCCACACCAGCCCUCCUCUCUGACCAUCCACAAAGCCAGAAGCAACCUUUGCCUGGGAGCUCUGCACAGAAUACAGAGAUAG
RNA transcript from Carlito syrichta (Philippine tarsier), 1059 nucleotides. It is a transcript of the gene named coiled-coil domain-containing protein 34-like, with no coding region annotated. The transcript is spliced from 4 exons. The record is from RefSeq and is a predicted model, not a curated record. NCBI's taxonomy places the organism in Eukaryota, Metazoa, Chordata, Mammalia, Primates, Tarsiidae.